This 1514-nucleotide ribosomal RNA is filed under the name marine metagenome. RNAcentral's name for it is "bacterial LSU rRNA". It matches the Rfam family "Bacterial large subunit ribosomal RNA", at positions 955 to 2539 of the family's 2925-position model. The record is from RNAcentral.
UCGGAAUACCUGGAAUGCUUUCAAUCAGCCAGUGAGACUGCGGGGGAUAAGCUCCGUAGUCAAAAGGGAAACAGCCCAGACCAUCAGUUAAGGCUCCUAAAUAAAAGCUAAGUGGUAAAGGAGGUGAAAAUGCAGUGACAAUCAGGAGGUUUGCCUAGAAGCAGCCACCCUUUAAAGAGUGCGUAAUAGCUCACUGAUCAAGCGUUUUUGCGCCGAAAAUUUCCGGAACUAAGUUUUUUGCCGAAGCUAUGGAUAUAUUACUAACAUAAUAUGUGGUAGAGGAGCGUUCCGCCCAGGGAGAAGCCAAGCGCGUAAGCCGCGGUGGACAGGGCGGAAGUGAGAAUGUCAGAUUGAGUAACGAAAACAUUGGUGAGAAUCCAAUGCCCCGAAAACUCAAGGGUUCCUGCGCAAGGCUCGUCCGCGCAGGGUCAGUCAGGACCUAAGGUGAGGCCGAAAGGCGUAAUUGAUGGCAAGAAGGUUUAUAUUCCUUCACUAAUCUAGGCUUAGUCCUGAGGGACGAACAAAUAACACUCGGCACAACGGCCACACUUGGCAGUAUGGAUAAACCCGUUGCUGUUUGAUGCUAUUUAUUCCAAGAAAAGCUCAUUCGACUUUGAGUCUAGAUUACCUGUACCGUAAACCGACACAGGUGAGUGGGUUGAAUAAACUAAGGGGAGCGAGAUAACUCUCUCUAAGGAACUCGGCAAAUUGGCUCUGUACCUUCGGAAGAAAGAGUGCCCCUUCAUGGGGCCGCAGUGAAGAGAUCCAGGCGACUGUUUACCAAAAACACAGGUCUCCGCAAAGUCGUAAGACGAUGUAUGGGGGCUGACACCUGCCCAGUGCCAGAAGGUUAAAGAAGUUGGUCAAUCUUUGAUGAAGCUAACAACUGAAGCCCUGGUGAACGGCGGCAGUAACUAUAACUGUCCUAAGGUAGCGAAAUUCCUUGUCGGGUAAGUUCCGACCCGCACGAAAGGUGUAACGAUCUGGAUACUGUCUCAGAGAGAGACUCGGUGAAAUAAAACUAUCUGUGAAGAUGCGGAUUACCUGCACACGGACAGAAAGACCCUAUGAAGCUUUACUGUAACCUGGAAUUGCUCUCAAGCUUAUUUUGCGCAGCUUAGGUGGGAGGCUAUGAACCUUUUCUUCUGGGAAGAGGGGAGCCAUCAGUGAGAUACCACUCUUGGUAAGCUAGAAAGCUCAGUCUUAACCGUUAUCCGGUAAGACGACAGUUUCAGGCGGGCAGUUUGACUGGGGCAGUCACCUCCCAAAAGGUAAUGGAGGUGCACAAAGGUUCCCUCAGGUUGGACGGAAAUCAACCAUAGAGUGUAAAAGCAUAAGGGAGCUUGACUGCGAGACUGACAUGUCAAGCAGAGACGAAAGUCGGUUUUAGUGAUCCGACGGUGCUGCGUGGAAAGGCCGUCGCUCAACGGAUAAAAGUUACUCUAGGGAUAACAGGCUAAUCUCCCCCAAGAGUUCACAUCGACGGGGAGGUUUGGCACCUCGAUGUCGGCUCA